Molecule: long non-coding RNA, 635 nt
Filed under: Homo sapiens (human)
Lineage: Eukaryota; Metazoa; Chordata; Mammalia; Primates; Hominidae
Description: non-protein coding lnc-NTM-5:1
Source: RNAcentral
UGCAGCUAGGGGUUGCCCACGCGGUCGUGGCAGGCUCUAACAGGCUGCAGAGAUGAGGGAAGCAGGCAGGAAGCUCAGAAGAAAGCCAAUCGAUGACCCUUAGAAGGAGGAUGGCUGCUUUUAGACUCACCACUUCCAACUUACAACCCAAGAUAGUAUGUUCACUGAAGAAGCAAAGAUACUGCAUUUGACCAACUAGGCACCCAGGAAGUGAAUGAAUAGUCAUGCAAGUAAAACAUCAAAGACUUGAAAAAUUCUUCUAGGGGUUUUCUGUUCAGAGGUCCAAUCUUUAGGAUGUAAAAAUUAAGUAAAUAAGAAAAUUAUGUUUAAAUCUUUUAAAAUAUUUUGUAAAUUCCCAUUAAAGAUACUGUAUCUAGGGGAGUAUAUAUCAUAUCUUGCCAUCUAUGUGAAAUAAUGGGAUGGAAAGCCAUAUGUGUUUGCUUAUAUAUGAUGGACUGUUUCUGGAAUGAUUCAGAAGAAAUUGGUAACUGGGUGACACCAGGAAGAAGAACUUAGUGUGAAUCGGGAAUCAGAGGAAACUAUUUCACUGGGUGCUCUUUGGCCCUUUUGAAUUUUGAACUACAAAUGUAUUGAUUAGCUCUUCACAGUAAAAAUAAAGAAAAUUAAAACUUCAA